Molecule: ribosomal RNA, 484 nt
Filed under: uncultured bacterium
Lineage: Bacteria
Description: partial 16S ribosomal RNA
Rfam family: Bacterial small subunit ribosomal RNA
Source: RNAcentral
AUUGAACGCUGGCGGCAGGCCUAACACAUGCAAGUCGAGCGGAUGAAGGGAGCUUUCUCCUGGAUUCAGCUGCGGACGGGUGAGUAAUUCCUAGGAAUCUGCCUUGUAGUUGGGGAUAACGUCCGUAAACGGGCGCUAAUACCGCAUCCGUCCUGAGGUAGAAAGUCGGGGAUCUUCGGACCUCACGCUAUCUGAUGAUCCUAGGUCGGAUUAGCUAGUUGGUUGGGUAAAGGCCUACCAAGGCGACGAUCCGUAACUGGUCUGAGAGGAUGAUCAGUCACACUGGAACUGAGACACGGUCCAGACUCCUACGGGAGGCAGCAGUGGGGAAUAUUGGACAAUGGGCGAAAGCCUGAUCCAGCCAUGCCGCGUGUGUGAAGAAGGUCUUCGGAUUGUAAAGCACUUUAAGUUGGGAGGAAGGGAAGUAAGUUAAUACGUUGCUGUUUUGACGGUACCAAAAGAAUAAGCACCGGCUAACUUCGUG